RNAcentral lists this small RNA (27 nucleotides) under Bombyx mori (domestic silkworm). RNAcentral describes it as "ovarian small RNA-24992". Lineage: Eukaryota; Metazoa; Arthropoda; Insecta; Lepidoptera; Bombycidae. The record is from RNAcentral.
UCACAAUUUGGCUUAACUAGAGAUUGU